GACGAACGCUGGCGGCGUGCCUAAUACAUGCAAGUCGAGCGCUCAGGGGAGGACUUUGUCUCUCGGACGUGUUGCGCGCAGGUGUGUGAAGCAUAUGGAUAAUCCCUCGUUAAGGCUGAGAAAUCUUCGGGACACUGGCGAUUACAGCGUAAAAGAUAUUGAUCCAUAUCGUUUGCUAAUAAAAUGCGGUUUUGCCACUACCUAAUGAUCGAUCCGCGCCUUAUUAGCUAGUUGGGAGGGUAACGGAUUACCAAGGCAACGAUUCGUAGCCGACCUGAGAGGGUGAUCGGCCACACUGGAACUGAGACACGGUCCAGACCCCUACGGGAGGCAGCAGGAGGGAAUCUUCCGCAAUGGGCGAAAGCUUGACGGAGCAACGGCGCGAGAGUGAUGAAGGUCUUCGGAUCGUAAAACUCUGUUAUGAGGGAAGAACAAAUGUGUAAGUAACUAUGCACGUCUUGACGGUACCUAAGCAGAAAGCAACGGCUAACUACGU
RNAcentral lists this ribosomal RNA (496 nucleotides) under uncultured bacterium. RNAcentral's name for it is "partial 16S ribosomal RNA". It matches the Rfam family "Bacterial small subunit ribosomal RNA", at positions 28 to 506 of the family's 1533-position model. The record is from RNAcentral.